Molecule: long non-coding RNA, 891 nt
Organism: Mesocricetus auratus (golden hamster)
Lineage: Eukaryota; Metazoa; Chordata; Mammalia; Rodentia; Cricetidae
Exons: 4
Source: RefSeq, a predicted model, not a curated record
UGGAAUGGAAACUCUGUGCCAGUCUACAAAUGCUGCCUUGAACACUUGAAAAACCCAGCGCUCGCCUCAGGUGUAACAUGAGUCUUUGGAGCCAACGUGAAAGGAAUUUGUUAGUGAAGCUCCUGAAUGCGAGGCGCUGAGAGUCCAUCACACUCCAUUACUGGGCGCCGCUGCCGAGUGACUGCUUCAAGCACACCGCAGUGCGUGAUGUGGAAGGGCCCUGGUUUCCUCAGUCAUUGCUCCUUUUCCUCUCGGCUUCCGAACUUCAAGGGACCUCUCAAUGAGACUUGGGAUGGCAAGCGAGGCUGUGAUUGUGACAGCGGGAGAGCAGGCUAGCCAGAUUCAUCUCUACGCUUCACGUUUUUUUCACAGAGUUUACCUUUCGUUACGCUUGGCUCCAUGAACACCGCUAAUCAGAACUUGAAAGUAAGGUCCUAUCACUGAAGAUGACAUCUACUUGAAUGUGAAGCACAGGAAGAAAUCAAGCUGGUACCAACAUGGAAGCCUCCUCCCUACUGCUCCUGGGUUGUCACGGGAGAAGGCUCAGGAAGGGUGUCAGAGCCAGUGCCUCCAGAGAACUGCUACAGCAUUUUCCACACAUGAUAGGGCACAUAAGAACCCAACGGCUGUGGCUGCGUACACAAGAUCUGUACAAGAUCAGGACAGUGAAAAUUCCAGCAUGGAUGAAGCAGCUGAGGAGAUACUGACGACAGUUGCUUCAUUUAUCCUCUUGGGGUGUAUGUGAAUAACUGAAUUCUCAUGGGACCUACUGAAGAGUCCCCAGUGUCUCUGAGAAGCAGCGAGUACCUCUUACUUUGGUGUAGAAUCAAGUUCAUUACCUAAGAAACGAUGAAAGCACAGCAGCCCUCGGAUAAUUAAAUGCCCCCCCCC